AGCCAAGGACAACUUGCC
Molecule: small nuclear RNA, 18 nt
Filed under: Arabidopsis thaliana (thale cress)
Lineage: Eukaryota; Viridiplantae; Streptophyta; Magnoliopsida; Brassicales; Brassicaceae
Description: snRNA_06314
Source: RNAcentral